AUUGAACGCUGGCGGCAUGCUUUACACAUGCAAGUCGAACGGUAACAGGCCGCAAGGUGCUGACGAGUGGCGAACGGGUGAGUAAUGCAUCGGAACGUGCCCAGUCGUGGGGGAUAACUACUCGAAAGAGUAGCUAAUACCGCAUACGAUCUAUGGAUGAAAGCGGGGGACCGUAAGGCCUCGCGCGAUUGGAGCGGCCGAUGUCAGAUUAGGUAGUUGGUGGGGGUAAAGGCUCACCAAGCCAACGAUCUGUAGCUGGUCUGAGAGGACGACCAGCCACACUGGGACUGAGACACGGCCCAGACUCCUACGGGAGGCAGCAGUGGGGAAUUUUGGACAAUGGGCGCAAGCCUGAUCCAGCAAUGCCGCGUGCAGGAAGAAGGCCUUCGGGUUGUAAACUGCUUUUGUACGGAACGAAACGGCUCUGGUUAAUACCCGGGGCUAAUGACGGUACCGUAAGAAUAAGCACCGGCUAACUACGUG
RNAcentral lists this ribosomal RNA (483 nucleotides) under uncultured bacterium. RNAcentral's name for it is "partial 16S ribosomal RNA". It matches the Rfam family "Bacterial small subunit ribosomal RNA", at positions 30 to 507 of the family's 1533-position model. The record is from RNAcentral.